UUCCCGGGCUUGUACACACCGCCCGUCACACCACGAAAGUCGGCAAUACCCGAAGCCGGUGGCCUAACCCGCAAGGGAGGGAGCCGUCGAAGGUAGGGUCGAUGAUUGGGGUG
Molecule: ribosomal RNA, 113 nt
Filed under: uncultured bacterium
Lineage: Bacteria
Description: partial 16S ribosomal RNA
Rfam family: Bacterial small subunit ribosomal RNA
Source: RNAcentral